AGGGAGCACGCGGACAAAGGAGGCGGCCGGCGGCCCAGCUGUUUUGAAAAAUGCUUCCUGUUUCUUUAAAGGCGCUCGCGGCUCGGGCGGCCGGGGCUGGGGAGGCGGUGGCGGCGGGAGCUGCCUCCUCUCCGGGCGGCGGCGCUGACUGAUCUCGCGAACUGGGCUUCUGUGUAAACUGAGGCUAAACAAACACAGAUGGAGCGCAGCGGGCGUUCUCCAGAAAUGCUGGCAAGGCGGCAGCGACUUCAGAUGACACUCUGAGCGCUCCGGGAACGGACAACCCGGCGGCUUCGCGGAGCCGGCCGCGCAGCUGCCCCGGGCGAGGGGGAGAAAGGGAGAGCGGGAGGGGGAGGCGGGCGAAGGGGGAGAGCCAGAGACUCCUCGGCGCUGAGCGCGGCGGCGGCCCGGGCAGCCCCCCGCCCCUGCCUCGCGCGCCGCCCGCGCCAUGAAGCAUAUCCCGGUCCUCGAGGACGGGCCGUGGAAGACCGUAUGCGUGAAGGAGCUGAACGGCCUCAAGAAGCUCAAGCGGAAAGGCAAGGAGCCGGCGCGGCGCGCGAACGGCUAUAAAACUUUCCGAUUGGACUUGGAAGCGCCCGAGCCCCGCGCCGUCGCCACCAACGGGCUGCGGGACAGGACCCACAGGCUGCAGCCGGUCCCGGUCCCGGUCCCGGUGCCGGUGCCAGCCCCAGUGGCGCCGGCCGUUCCUCCAAGAGGGGGCGCGGACACAGCCGGGGAGCGCGGGGGCUCCCGGGCGCCUGAGGUCUCUGACGCGCGGAAACGCAGCUUCGCUCUGGGCGCAGUGGGGCCAGGACUCCCCACGACGCCGCCGCCGCCGCCUCCUGUGCCCCAGAGCCUGGCACCUGGGGGCCCAGAGCCACAGCCUUUCCGAGAGCCGGGUCUGCGUCCCCGCAUCUUGCUGUGCGCACCACCCGCGCGCCCCACGCCGUCCGCGCCCCCAGCGCCGCCCGCGCCCCCGGAGUCCACAGUGCGCCCCGCGCCCCCCACGCGCCCUGGGGAAAGUUCCUACUCGUCAAUUUCACACGUAAUUUACAAUAACCACCCGGAUUCCUCCGCGUCGCCUAGGAAACGACCGGGCGAAGCGACUGCCGCCUCCUCGGAGAUCAAAGCCCUGCAGCAGACCCGGAGGCUCCUGGCAAACGCCAGGGAGCGGACGCGGGUGCACACCAUCAGCGCAGCUUUCGAGGCGCUCAGGAAGCAGGUGCCGUGCUACUCGUAUGGGCAGAAGCUGUCCAAACUGGCCAUCUUGAGGAUCGCCUGUAACUACAUCCUGUCCCUGGCGCGGCUGGCUGACCUUGACUACAGUGCCGACCACAGCAACCUCAGCUUCUCCGAGUGUGUGCAGCGCUGCACCCGCACCCUGCAGGCCGAGGGACGUGCCAAAAAGCGCAAGGAGUGACUGGCUACAGGCGAGACCGAGACCACCGCUGUGGGCCCUCCUACCCAUCAGGCCUGAGGACAAGGUCCUGGUGUGAGAGACAGCCUGGAAAGCCAAAUACUGUAAUCUGGGGAGCAGCCCUAAGAUGAAUAACAUUAGGCUAUGUAAGAACCACUGAUUCAAUGAUCCUGUCCAUUGAGGACCACAAGGUAAUAUAUCCUUUUCCUAAAGACACUGAAAAGUCCUGCAGUAGAAACACUCAUUUAACUUUUUGAACUCAGUGCCUCUCAAACUUAUAUGAACACUUAUCUUUUAAAAAGAAAUUUAUUAUGGUAAAAUACACAUAGCGUAAUAUUGAGCAUUUUAACCAUUAAGUGGACGGUUCAGUGGCAUUAAAUACAUUCAUAAUGUGUGCAACCAUUACCAUUAUCCGCAUCCCAAAUGUUUUCAUCAUUGCCAACAAAAACUCUGCACCCGAUAAACAAUAACUCUACCUCCUCCCCUCCCCCACCCUGAUAAACUCUAUUCUACUUCCUGUCUCUACGAACUUGCCUAUUCUAUGUACUUCAUAUAAGUGGAAUCAUACAAUAUUUGUCCUUCUCUGUUGACUUAUUUCAUUCACUAUGCGUAAUGUUUUCAACGUCCAUCCUCGUGUUGGCAUGUGUCAGAGUUUCAUUGCUUUUCGUGGCUGAACAAUGCUCCAUUAUGUGGAUAGACCACAUCUGUGUUGAUGGAGAAUGCUUAUCCUUUAUUUCAGGGACCCAUCUCUCAUGGAACAUCAAGAAAGGUCCCCAGAACACAGUUUGGGCACGGUUGUCUUUUGGAGCCACUAGAAUGUUGGGAUUUGGAACCGGCCAGGGUGUUCAUGUUCUUGCCCACACGUUUGCUCUAGGCACUGACAGAAACUUCGGUUAGCUCAGUCUCCAAUCUUAAGGCAAAGACUGAAGCCCAGAGUGGGGAAGCUGUCUGGGAAGUACCCAGGGAGCGGUGGUCAGUGGUCAGCCCUGGGGGCAAAGCAGGGGCCAGCCUUGUUCUCUAAACCCACAGGAUGCUUGGUCCUGCUGGGAAGGCUGACAGCUCAGUGUCGCUGCCAUCUGUCAGGGCUGCCUUCCCUGGUUUUGAGGACAGGGCUGGACAGGAGCCAAGUUUGAAGGGAGCAGUUGCCUGGAGGCCCUGGCCCCUUUUUGGCAGCCUCACGGGUCCUGUUCCUACAAGGAGCUGGACACGCUGUUCUGAACAACUGCCCCUGCCCCUCCCUGUCAGCACCUCCCACAGAGACCCCUUUCUAGCAGGCAGACAUGCUGGGGAUUAAUGAAUUAGGGGCCCAGAACCCCAGUUCAGGCAAGAGAGGAGACACCCAGAGUUGUGCCUCCAGUGACACAGGGACAACAUGGACCUCUCUGGGAACCCGAAGUUCUGGGCUCCAACUUGGCCUGAUCCUCCACUCCGUGCCCGUAACUUCUGAGGUCGCUCCUGUCUCAGCAGUCUCCCAUGUGGGCCUCACACUGCCUUGUCCUCCCCCAAUGCUGGCAUUCAGGGUCAGAUGAAAACUCCCUUCGCUGGCUCCACUGCCCCACCUGGAGACCAAGGGCCCACACUGUUCUUGCUCGAACAGCUGUACUUCUCCUCUUGAGAGAUUUUCUUUUGAGCCAGAGAAUUAUUUGAAAGAGAAGAGACCUUCCAGAAUUGUUAAACAAAACAACACAACAGAGCAUCUCUAGACAAAUUACAAAUAAACUGGGUUCGCGCUUCAAAUCUGGAUAAAGCUCCUCUUCCCAGACCUCAAACCUGUUGCUCAAGUAAAGCUUCUUUGACCUUGGACCAGACCUCCCUGUGCGGGGGCCUCCCAGGUCAUCUCCUCUCACCGCUGUGGCCAGGUUCCUUGCAUCUCCAUCUGUCUUCCCGGCUCCGCUGUGCACUCCUGGAAGACGGUGAGUGUGUCUGGUCAUCUCCCCAGGGCAGAACGGCCCUCAGGACCUGCAUUGAUGCAGUGCUGCCCGCCUGGCUAGGAAAGCUUUUCGCGAUUCUCUGCCCUGGUGAGGGGCUGCAAGGUCCUGCCCACCCCAGUGCAGCCCAGUCCAGCCCUCAGGUAAUCCAGCAGAACCCAGCUGAGAGUCAGGUGUGGGAGGCAAGUCUGAAAUAGGAUGAAUGCUCUUGAACUCAGUGCACGAAAUGACUAAGAAGCUGGAGCCAAACGGAGCACACAGUGAGGGGACGUCCGAGAAGCACCACGUGUCUCCAGCCCAAAGCCACUCAGAGGGACUUAAAUGAAUGUCUCGUGCACACGGCAAGGUGGCAGUGCCUGUUCCUCCCAGGGCCUGUCUGCAGCCCCCAGCCCCAGGUCCUGAGCCUCCCUUAAGGCCUGCCUCCCCGCAGAGCUUUGUCACUCUCUCCAGCUGAGCCAGGCCUGUCAUCAGGACCCCCUUUCCUCUCCACAAAGGCCAGCACUCUCCCGGCUCCCCCAGCUCUAUCCCGGCCCAUUCUGCCUCCGCUGCUUUCCUCAGUGUGUGGGUUCAGCGGCAGCAGCAUCUGCGGGGCACCCUCUGGCCUGCGGGCAGUCACAGGAUGCCAAGGGCCCUGGUGCUGGUUCUUGGCCCUGCCACUCACUGGCUGCAUGACCCAGGGCAAGUUGCUGCCUCCCUAAGCCGAAGUUUCUCCCUUUGUAAAAAGUGGUUGGAAGAGAUGAUGACUAAAGCCUCUUCUAGAUCCAUAACUAUCUCGCUGGAUAACAGCUGCUCAUUCAACACCAGACUGAGUUAAACAUCUAAGGAAUUUCUACUCGAAAGCCAACAUUUAGAGCCAGCCCUACCCCACUGGGCGUCAUCCACGACAGGCAGGCAGAGGCACUGCAUUCCCCUUGCUUUCUCCCUCAGCACUGGCCUCAGCUGGCCUUUCCUUGCCCAGGUCCUCCGGGCCCCUCCCAGGGCUGUGGCCUUCCUCUGGCCAGGUCCUCAGGCAGGGCUCGUUUCCUCCCCGGCCUGAGCACCUUCCCGAGGAGCCAGCGCCUGUCCCUGCUGCCCAGUGCUUCCUCAGAGGCAGGGCCUUGGCAAGUGCUGCCUUGCUGCUGAUGAGACUUAAUUAACGCAGGGAUCUGUUUUCCUCCUGGCCCUGGGAGAGAGGCGCCCGCCUCCGAGCUCAAGGACACAGGGUCCCUCAUUGUUCUUCGGAGAAACGCAGCUGCCCCUCCGCAGCUGCUGCCCCGGGCCUGUCAGCUGCUGCCCCUGUUCUCAGAGGGCCUUCCCACUCUCCUCCCUGAGGGGCUUAUUCAAGUGCCCAUCAGCAGUGAUCCUCGUCCUUCCCCCGUGCUGGUUUCUUCAGGGUGUCCAUGGUGCUGACUCUCGGCUCACUGCAACCUCCGUCUCCCCAGUUCAAGUGAUUCUCCUGCCGCAGCCUCCAAGUAGC
This is an RNA transcript of Sapajus apella (tufted capuchin), 4801 nucleotides long. It is a transcript of the gene named atonal bHLH transcription factor 8, with no coding region annotated. The record is from RefSeq and is a predicted model, not a curated record. The transcript has 4 exons. Lineage: Eukaryota; Metazoa; Chordata; Mammalia; Primates; Cebidae.